GCCACCUGCAAGCUGCUCGGUCCACUCGUAGGUUCAUGUCGGCGGAUCCCCGUCGAUGCACUCGACACAAACCAUGGCUUGCUGUGCAGUUCAUUGUGCUAACAGACCGUCUCACAGCUCUGUUGUCAAGUUCUUCCGUUUCCAUCUAGGUGAUCCCGAGAGGCUAGACCUGUGGGUGAUCAACAUGAAGAGACAGAACUGGAUUCUGAGUCUCUGCAGUCAACACUUAAGAGACAUCACUUGAGCAUUGACAAAAGGUUGCAGGCCAUCUUUAGUUGAGGGAGAAAACGUGAAGUGUUGGGCCGUUGAAGCUUGUGCAGGUCGUCCUCGUGUUGACCAGCCUGAAGCUGCCGAUCUCCACCAUGUUGCUGCUGAGGACAGAUCCGGUGCUGCAGUGCUUCAUCUGAUGAAAAGAAGAAACUCACUAUAAAAUAAUGUUUUGUGUUGUGUUUGUUCCAGCAAAGACUGGUUCUUACAGUUUAUUCUGUGUUCAUCACCACAGAUUUCAGACAGAACCAAUGUACUGGGCUCUGGGUUUGUACCCUCAUAGUUGAAUGCACAUAUUGUAAGUAAGUCUGGAUCAAAGUGUCAGCCAAAUGAAAUGUAAU
Long non-coding RNA from Pleuronectes platessa (European plaice), 608 nucleotides. RefSeq lists it as uncharacterized. The record is from RefSeq and is a predicted model, not a curated record. The transcript is spliced from 3 exons. Lineage: Eukaryota; Metazoa; Chordata; Actinopteri; Pleuronectiformes; Pleuronectidae.